Molecule: ribosomal RNA, 253 nt
Filed under: uncultured bacterium
Lineage: Bacteria
Description: partial 16S ribosomal RNA
Rfam family: Bacterial small subunit ribosomal RNA
Source: RNAcentral
UACGUAGGGAGCAAGCGUUUGUCCGGAAUCAUUGGGCGUAAAGCGCGCGUAGGCGGCCCGAUAAGUCCGUUGUGAAAGUCAAAGGCUCAACCUUUGAAUGCCGAUGGAUACUGUCGGGCUAGAGUCCGGAAGAGGCGAGUGGAAUUCCUGGUGUAGCGGUGAAUGCGCAGAUAUCAGGAGGAACACCAUAGUCGAAGGCAGCUCGCUGGGACGGUACUGACGCUGAGACGCGAAAGCGUGGGGAGCAAACAGG